CCUACGGGGAGCAGCAGUGGGGAAUAUUGGGCCAUGGGCGCAAGCCUGACCCAGCAACGCCGCGUGAAGGAAGAAGGCUUUCGGGUUGUAAACUUCUUUUCUCAGGGACGAAGAAAGUGACGGUACCUGAGGAAUAAGCCACGGCUAACUACGUGCCAGCAGCCGCGGGAAUACGUAGGUGGCAAGCGUUAUCCGGAUUUACUGGGUGUAAAGGGCGUGUAGGCGGGAAAGCAAGUCAGAUGUGAAAACCAUGGGCUCAACCUGUGGCCUGCAUUUGAAACUGUUUUUCUUGAGUACUGGAGAGGCAGACGGAAUUCCUAGUGUAGCGGUGAAAUGCGUAGAUAGUAGGAGGAACACCAGUGGCGAAGGCGGUCUGCUGGACAGCAACUGACGCUGAGGCGCGAAAGCGUGGGGAGCAAACAGGAUUAGAUACCCGUGUAGUC
RNAcentral lists this ribosomal RNA (443 nucleotides) under uncultured bacterium. RNAcentral's name for it is "partial 16S ribosomal RNA". It matches the Rfam family "Bacterial small subunit ribosomal RNA", at positions 338 to 795 of the family's 1533-position model. The record is from RNAcentral.